Molecule: ribosomal RNA, 751 nt
Filed under: uncultured bacterium
Lineage: Bacteria
Description: bacterial SSU rRNA
Rfam family: Bacterial small subunit ribosomal RNA
Source: RNAcentral
GGGGCGGCCAAAACUGCAGUCGAGCGAGCUUGCCUAGAUGAUUUUAGUGCUUGCACUAAAUGAAACUAGAUACAAGCCAGUGACGGACGGGUGAGUAACACGUGGGUAACCUGCCCAACACUACUGGGAUAACACCUGGAAACAGAUGCUAAUACCGGAUAACAACACUAGACGCAUGUCUAGAGUUUGAAAGAUGGUUCUGCUAUCACUCUUGGAUGGACCUGCGGUGCAUUAGCUAGUUGGUAAGGUAACGGCUUACCAAGGCAAUGAUGCAUAGCCGAGUUGAGAGACUGAUCGGCCACAUUGGGACUGAGACAUGGCCCAAACUCUUACGGGAGGCAGCAGUAGGGAAUCUUCCACAAUGGACGAAAGUCUGAUGGAGCAACGCCGCGUGAGUGAAGAAGGGUUUCGGCUCGUAAAGCUCUGUUGGUAGUGAAGAAAGAUAGAGGUAGUAACUGGCCUUUAUUUGACGGUAAUUACUUAGAAAGUCACGGCUAACUACGUGCCAGCAGCCGCGGUAAUACGUAGGUGGCAAGCGUUGUCCGGAUUUAUUGGGCGUAAAGCGAGUGCAGGCGGUUCAAUAAGUCUGAUGUGAAAGCCUUCGGCUCAACCGGAGAAUUGCAUCAGAAACUGUUGAACUUGAGUGCAGAAGAGGAGAGUGGAACUCCAUGUGUAGCGGUGGAAUGCGUAGAUAUAUGGAAGAACACCAGUGGCGAAGGCGGCUCUCUGGUCUGCAACUGACGCUGAGGCU